GCUUCUUUCCUCCCGAGUGCUUGCACUCAAUUGGAAAGAGGAGUGGCGGACGGGUGAGUAACACGUGGGUAACCUACCCAUCAGAGGGGGAUAACACUUGGAAACAGGUGCUAAUACCGCAUAACAGUUUAUGCCGCAUGGCAUAAGAGUGAAAGGCGCUUUCGGGUGUCGCUGAUGGAUGGGCCCGCGGUGCAUUAGCUAGUUGGUGAGGUAACGGCUCACCAAGGCCACGAUGCAUAGCCGACCUGAGAGGGUGAUCGGCCACACUGGGACUGAGACACGGCCCAGACUCCUACGGGAGGCAGCAGUAGGGAAUCUUCGGCAAUGGACGAAAGUCUGACCGAGCAACGCCGCGUGAGUGAAGAAGGUUUUCGGAUCGUAAAACUCUGUUGUUAGAGAAGAACAAGGACGUUAGUAACUGAACGUCCCCUGACGGUAUCUAACCAGAAAGCCACGGCUAACUACGUGCCAGCAGCCGCGGUAAUACGUAGGUGGCAAGCGUUGUCCGGAUUUAUUGGGCGUAAAGCGAGCGCAGGCGGUUUCUUAAGUCUGAUGUGAAAGCCCCCGGCUCAACCGGGGAGGGUCAUUGGAAACUGGGAGACUUGAGUGCAGAAGAGGAGAGUGGAAUUCCAUGUGUAGCGGUGAAAUGCGUAGAUAUAUGGAGGAACACCAGUGGCG
This 678-nucleotide ribosomal RNA is filed under the name uncultured Enterococcus sp. RNAcentral describes it as "bacterial SSU rRNA". It matches the Rfam family "Bacterial small subunit ribosomal RNA", at positions 68 to 717 of the family's 1533-position model. Lineage: Bacteria; Bacillati; Bacillota; Bacilli; Lactobacillales; Enterococcaceae. The record is from RNAcentral.